AUGCAGAUAGCUCAGUUGGUUAGAGCAUGAUGAUGAUGAUGCCAAAGUUGCAGGUUUGAUCCCUGUCUGGGACAGCUGCAUA
This 82-nucleotide transfer RNA is filed under the name Podarcis lilfordi (Lilford's wall lizard). RNAcentral's name for it is "tRNA.Ile". Lineage: Eukaryota; Metazoa; Chordata; Lepidosauria; Squamata; Lacertidae. The record is from RNAcentral.